Molecule: long non-coding RNA, 943 nt
Filed under: Olea europaea (common olive)
Lineage: Eukaryota; Viridiplantae; Streptophyta; Magnoliopsida; Lamiales; Oleaceae
Description: long non-coding RNA (OEUR_LNC006384)
Source: RNAcentral
UCCUGAUCUCAAAACUUCAACUAUUGAUCCUAAACACCCUUCUAUGUCCAUGAUUCGGGAUUUGUUUUUAUCAUAAAUGGAUAAGUUCAGCAUUGCAGUCACAGAAUUCUCUUGUGCCAAGGCAUCCGAAGAUGAAAGUAGCGAUUUCAGACAGGGUAUUGCACCAGCCUCCGCAAUGCAAGCACGAUUUUCUCUUCCCGAUUUUGCUAACAAUCUUAUCUCUCUGGCAGCCACAGUCUUCGCCUUUUCCGUUCCACUUGCUAGCCGUUCAACAAGAAGAUCUGCUGUGGCUUUAGUAGCUUCCAUUGCAGCCUUGCUCGGCAAAGCAGCAGUGUAACUCUCAGAAGAAGAAUCCACACUCUCUGGCGGAUCAUAUGGAAUCCCAUUAGCAAGACACCACUGCAUGAUCAAAUUUCUCAGAGCCCGAUUUGGAACUAACCGAGUAUGAACAAGCAUCUGCCCCGUCUUUGGACAAGUACUGUGCCCUUCCUCCAUCCACCUUGAUAUUGAGAGCCGAUCAUAGGUCUGCCCUGUCGAUACUGUCACCGGAUCCCACAUAAAAUCCAAUGAUAUUGGGCAGCAGAAAUCCUUGGGAAUCGUAAUAAACGUAUCUGCAAUCUCCUGGGUAAUCAGUCCUUUCUUCGUCUUCUUAUGCCUCCACUUUCCCAAUUCACCCUCCUCAUCCUCAAAUCUGAACAGCAAGAACCCACAGUAUCGUGUUAAAGCCACAAAUCCAUUCAGUACUGAGGCUGUAGGCUCAAUAUCCCCCUCACAAUUCACAAUCUGCUCCUCCAAGAAUUCAAUCUCAAAUCUAAUACUUUUCACAUCACGAAUGGCCAAUUUUUCCACAAAAAACAAGUACAGUUCAUUCUGAUCAGGAACCUUUCCAUUCUCAAGUUCAUUCAAGAAAUUAUAAAACUUCAUCCUCAAUAUAUCAUCGUUC